AACCAAAGUGUUGAGUCCAGUUCAGGGCUGCUUCUCUGUUCUGGUAAUUAACCUUUGGGACAGUAAGACACAAGUCUGGGGGGAAGACUGAGUAGAAGCUAAUUCUUUUAUUCAUUUCUCCCCCAGUCUACAAAA
Molecule: small nucleolar RNA, 135 nt
Organism: Suncus etruscus (white-toothed pygmy shrew)
Lineage: Eukaryota; Metazoa; Chordata; Mammalia; Eulipotyphla; Soricidae
Source: RefSeq, a predicted model, not a curated record